RNAcentral lists this small RNA (67 nucleotides) under Frankia sp. Hr75.2. Its description in RNAcentral is "Transposase-2". It matches the Rfam family "Transposase-2 RNA". The record is from RNAcentral. Lineage: Bacteria; Bacillati; Actinomycetota; Actinomycetes; Frankiales; Frankiaceae.
GAAACGGGAACCCGGCACCGCGCGAGCGGGUCGGACCGGGGGUUCCUCACCGAGAGGCGAGGCGGCA